AUGUCUUUUAGACUAGAGUGUAGCUUGAAACGGAGACGAUUGCAGGUGAAGCAGUGUGAAUGUACACAAACUCUAGGCUUUUACCAGCUGGUAAAGAGUUGAGCCAAGCUGGGAAGAUGAACGAGUUACCGUACUUUGUUAGACCCCAGAGAGGACCAUAGAGCUUGACUAUGGAGAGUUUCAAGUUCUUAACCGUCUUUCCGGACUUGUUGGUUA
RNAcentral lists this unclassified non-coding RNA (216 nucleotides) under Hevea brasiliensis (rubber tree). The record is from RNAcentral. Lineage: Eukaryota; Viridiplantae; Streptophyta; Magnoliopsida; Malpighiales; Euphorbiaceae.